This 71-nucleotide transfer RNA is filed under the name Loxodonta africana (African savanna elephant). It matches the Rfam family "tRNA". From Rfam's summary of the family: Transfer RNA (tRNA) molecules are approximately 80 nucleotides in length. Their secondary structure includes four short double-helical elements and three loops (D, anti-codon, and T loops). The record is from Rfam by way of RNAcentral. Lineage: Eukaryota; Metazoa; Chordata; Mammalia; Proboscidea; Elephantidae.
ACAUUGGUAGUUCAAUAGUAAAAUUCUCACCUUCCAUGCAGGAGACCUGGGUUCCAUUCCCAGCCAAUACA